Long non-coding RNA from Sapajus apella (tufted capuchin), 99 nucleotides. RefSeq lists it as uncharacterized. The record is from RefSeq and is a predicted model, not a curated record. The transcript is spliced from 3 exons. Lineage: Eukaryota; Metazoa; Chordata; Mammalia; Primates; Cebidae.
AACAGACUUGCUUGAUGCAGAGUUGCCACAAAUCUUCAAUUUGUAAAAAAUGCAAUUAUCUAUGAUGUACAAUAAAGCAUAGGAGAAGAAAGAAAGAGA